AUUCCAGCUCCAAUAGCGUAUAUUAAAGUUGUUGCAGUUAAAAAGCUCGUAGUUGGAUUUCUGGUAGGAGCGACCGUGCCGAACUUGAUUGUUCGUGUAUUGUGUUGUCUUCAGCCAUCCUCGUGGAGAACUUUUCUAACAUUAACUUGUCGGGAUUGGGACCCGCGUCGUUUACUGUGAAAAAAUUAGAGUGUUUAAAGCAGGCAUUAGCUUGAAUACAUUAGCAUGGAAUAAUAAGAUAGGACUUUGGUACUAUUUUGUUGGUUUGCAUACCAAAUUAAUGAUCAACAGGAACAGUUUGAGGAUAUUCGUAUGAACAUGUCAGAGGUGAAAUUCUUGGAUUUUGAUCAGACGAACUACUGCGAAAGCAUUUAUCAAGGAUGUUUUCAUUG
Molecule: ribosomal RNA, 392 nt
Filed under: Aplanochytrium sp.
Lineage: Eukaryota; Bigyra; Thraustochytrida; Thraustochytriidae
Description: partial small subunit ribosomal RNA
Rfam family: Eukaryotic small subunit ribosomal RNA
Source: RNAcentral